Molecule: unclassified non-coding RNA, 526 nt
Filed under: uncultured Glomeromycotina
Lineage: Eukaryota; Fungi; Glomeromycota
Description: SSU rRNA
Rfam family: Eukaryotic small subunit ribosomal RNA
Source: RNAcentral
CAGCCGCGUAAUUCCAGCUCCAAUAGCGUAUAUUAAAGUUGUUGCAGUUAAAAAGCUCGUAGUUGAAUUUCGGGAUUGGCGCAUCGGUCGUGCCUCACGGGGUAUGAACUGGUGCAGUCAAUUUCUCACCUUCUGGAGAACCGCGAUGUCCUUAAUUGGAUGCCGCGGGGAACCAGGACCUUUACUUUGAAAAAAUUAGAGUGUUUAAAGCAGGCAUUUUUGCUUGAAUACAUUAGCAUGGAAUAAUAAAAUAGGACGGCAUGGUUCUAUUUUGUUGGUUUCUAGGACCACCGUAAUGAUUAAUAGGGAUAGUUGGGGGCAUUAGUAUUCAAUUGUCAGAGGUGAAAUUCUUGGAUUUAUUGAAGACUAACUACUGCGAAAGCAUUUGCCAAGGAUGUUUUCAUUAAUCAAGAACGAAAGUUAGGGGAUCGAAGACGAUCAGAUACCGUCGUAGUCUUAACCAUAAACUAUGCCGACUAGGAAUCAGACGAUGUUAAUUUUUUAAUGACUCGUUUGGCACCUUACA